This 305-nucleotide ribosomal RNA is filed under the name uncultured bacterium. RNAcentral describes it as "bacterial SSU rRNA". It matches the Rfam family "Bacterial small subunit ribosomal RNA", at positions 338 to 639 of the family's 1533-position model. The record is from RNAcentral.
CCUACGGGAGGCAGCAGUGAGGAAUAUUGGUCAAUGGGCGGAAGCCUGAACCAGCCAAGUCGCGUGAGGGAAGAAGGCCCUGCGGGUCGCAGACCUCUUUGGACGGGGAGCAAGGCCGCCGACGUGUCGGCGGAAGGAGAGUACCCGUAGAACAAGCAUCGGCUAACUCCGUGCCAGCAGCCGCGGUAAUACGUAGGUGGCAAGCGUUAUCCGGAAUUAUUGGGCGUAAAGAGCGCGCAGGUGGUUAAUUAAGUCUGAUGUGAAAGCCCACGGCUUAACCGUGGAGGGUCAUUGGAAACUGGUUG